Molecule: long non-coding RNA, 387 nt
Filed under: Nicotiana benthamiana
Lineage: Eukaryota; Viridiplantae; Streptophyta; Magnoliopsida; Solanales; Solanaceae
Description: long non-coding RNA (NBEN_LNC038488)
Source: RNAcentral
UAAUAUUCCAAGUAGUAACAAUCAUGAAGUAUUAGAUCUAAUACUCCAAGAAGGUCCUGGAUCCACUUGGAAUCCCCUUCUAUCAUCAGCCAUAAUAGUUGCCACAGCCUUCCCUUUUUCUGCAAUUGCAUUUAUGUCCUCACUGGUUACAGGAAGAUCCCCUGAAGCUGCUGUGAUCCUGCUAUGUUCAUCUAAUAUCUGCUGAGGUCCACUAGUAUUCACCAUCUGCAUAUCUUCAGUAUGACCACUUGAAUUUGCCUCCACUUGAUUGGUUUCAGUAACAAUUUUAUCUUCCCCAGUAUCUGCUACAUCUGCAGUGGCUUUUGGAAUUUACUCUUGCCUUGGGUAUUGUCUUGGUCUCCUAGUUCUUUUCCUUUUCUCUUUCAC